AGAAUCAACGCUGGCGGCGUGCCUCAGACAUGCAAGUCGAACGAUUAAAGCUCUCUUCGGAGAGUGCAUAGAGUGGCGCACGGGUGAGUAACACGUAAGUAAUCUACCUUUGAGUGGGGAAUAACGCUCGGAAACGGACGCUAAUACCGCAUAAUGCAGCGGCAUCGCAAGAUGACAGUUGUUAAAGGAGCAACCCGCUUAAAGAGGAGCUUGCGGCAGAUUAGCUUGUUGGUAAGGUAACGGCUUACCAAGGCUACGAUCUGUAUCCGGUCUAAGAGGACGGUCGGACACACUGACACUGAAUAACGGGUCAGACUCCGUACGGGAGGCAGCAGGUCGGGAAUUUGGGCAAGUCGGGGGAAACCCCGACCAGCCGAACGCCGCGUGAAGAUGAAGUA
This 398-nucleotide ribosomal RNA is filed under the name uncultured soil bacterium. RNAcentral's name for it is "bacterial SSU rRNA". It matches the Rfam family "Bacterial small subunit ribosomal RNA", at positions 26 to 415 of the family's 1533-position model. The record is from RNAcentral.